UGAACGGCUUUUUUCUGAUGG
This 21-nucleotide non-coding RNA is filed under the name Caenorhabditis elegans. Lineage: Eukaryota; Metazoa; Nematoda; Chromadorea; Rhabditida; Rhabditidae. The record is from RNAcentral.